Molecule: ribosomal RNA, 671 nt
Filed under: uncultured cyanobacterium
Lineage: Bacteria; Bacillati; Cyanobacteriota
Description: bacterial SSU rRNA
Rfam family: Bacterial small subunit ribosomal RNA
Source: RNAcentral
AAUUAUUUUUUUGUUUUAGUGGCGGACGGGUGAGUAACGCGUAAGAAUCUACCUUUAGGAGGGGGAAAACAACUGGAAACGGUUGCUAACACCCCAUAUGCUGAGGAGUAAAAUACAUUGUGCCUAGAGAUGAGCUUGCGUCUGAUUAGUUAGUUGGUAAGGUAAUUGCUUCCCAAGACUAUGAUCAGUAGCUGGUCUGAGAGGAUGAUCAGCCACACUGGGACUGAGACACGGCCCAGACUCCUACGGGAGGCAGCAGUGAGGAAUUUUCCGCAAUGGGCGAAAGCCUGACGGAGCAAUGCCGCGUGGAGGAUGAAAGCCUAUGGGUUGUAAACUCCUUUUCUCAGAGAAGAAAUUUUGACGGUAUCUGAGGAAUAAGCAUCGGCUAACUCCGUGCCAGCAGCCGCGGUAAUACGGGGGAUGCAAGUGUUAUCCGGAAUAAUUGGGCGUAAAGCGUCUGUAGGUGGUUGACCAAGUCUGUUGUUAAAAAUCAGGGCUUAACCCUGAUCCGGCAACAGAAACUAGUAAACUUGAGUACGGUAGGGGCAGAGGGAAUUUUCGGUGUAGUGGUGAAAUACGUAGAUAUCGAGAAGAACACCAAUAGCGAAAGCACUCUGCUGGGCCGAAACUGACAUUGAGAGACGAAAGCUAGGGGAGCAAAAGGGAUUAGA